RNAcentral lists this ribosomal RNA (254 nucleotides) under uncultured bacterium. RNAcentral describes it as "partial 16S ribosomal RNA". It matches the Rfam family "Bacterial small subunit ribosomal RNA", at positions 524 to 776 of the family's 1533-position model. The record is from RNAcentral.
CACGUAGGCACCAAGCGUUGUCCGGAUUUAUUGGGCGUAAAGAGCUCGUAGGCGGUUGAGUAAGUCGGGUGUGAAAACUCUGGGCUUAACCCAGAGCCGCCACUCGAUACUGCUCUGACUUGAGUUCGGUAGGGGAGCAGGGAAUUCCUAGUGUAGCGGUGAAAUGCGCAGAUAUUAGGAGGAACACCGGUGGCGAAGGCGCUGCUCUGGGGCGAAACUGACGCUGAGGAGCGAAAGCGUGGGUAGCAAACAGG